UAUAUCGGAACGUGCCCAGUCGUGGGGGAUAACGUAGCGAAAGCUACGCUAAUACCGCAUACGAUCUACGGAUGAAAGCGGGGGAUCGCAAGACCUCGCGCGAUUGGAGCGGCCGAUAUCAGAUUAGCUAGUUGGUGGGGUAAAAGCCCACCAAGGCGACGAUCUGUAGCUGGUCUGAGAGGACGACCAGCCACACUGGAACUGAGACACGGUCCAG
This 217-nucleotide ribosomal RNA is filed under the name uncultured bacterium. Its description in RNAcentral is "partial 16S ribosomal RNA". It matches the Rfam family "Bacterial small subunit ribosomal RNA", at positions 114 to 334 of the family's 1533-position model. The record is from RNAcentral.